ACUCCUACGGGAGGCAGCAGUGGGGAAUAUUGCACAAUGGGGGAAACCCUGAUGCAGCCAUGCCGCGUGUGUGAAGAAGGCCUUCGGGUUGUAAAGCACUUUCAGUAGGGAGGAAGGUAGUNUAGUUAAGCAUACCUUGCAUUUAGUUUAGACGUUUUAACCCGUUAACAGGAAAGAAGCAACCGGGCUAACUCCCGGUGCCAGCAGCCGCGGUAAUACGGAGGGUGCGAGCGUUAAUCGGAAUUACUGGGCGUAAAGCGCAUGCAGGUGGUUUGUUAAGUCAGAUGUGAAAGCCCAGGGCUCAACCUCGGAAUUGCAUUUGAAACUGGCGACUAGAGUACUGUAGAGGGGGGUAGAAUUUCAGGUGUAGCGGUGAAAUGCGUAGAGAUCUGAAGGAAUACCGGUGGCGAAGGCGGCCCCCUGGACAGAUACUGACACUCAGAUGCGAAAGCGUGGGGAGCAAAUAGGAUUAGAUACCCUGGUAGGAUAGC
Molecule: ribosomal RNA, 491 nt
Filed under: uncultured bacterium
Lineage: Bacteria
Description: bacterial SSU rRNA
Rfam family: Bacterial small subunit ribosomal RNA
Source: RNAcentral